CACACUGUAAACGAUGAUAGCUAGGUGUGGGGGGUCUGACCCCUUCCGUGCCGGAGUUAACGCAAUAAGCUAUCCACCUGGGGAGUACGACCGCAAGGUUGAAACUCAAAGGAAUUGACGGGGGCCCGCACAAGCAGUGGAUUAUGUGGUUUAAUUCGAAGCAACGCGAAGAACCUUACCAGGUCUUGACAUCCGACUAACGAGAUAGAGAUAUGUCAGGUGCCCUUCGGGGAAAGUCGAGACAGGUGG
RNAcentral lists this ribosomal RNA (249 nucleotides) under uncultured bacterium. RNAcentral describes it as "partial 16S ribosomal RNA". It matches the Rfam family "Bacterial small subunit ribosomal RNA", at positions 796 to 1041 of the family's 1533-position model. The record is from RNAcentral.